This 132-nucleotide long non-coding RNA is filed under the name Castor canadensis (American beaver). RNAcentral describes it as "Pvt1 onco conserved region 5 (ENSCCNG00000003522.1)". It matches the Rfam family "Pvt1 oncogene conserved region 5". Lineage: Eukaryota; Metazoa; Chordata; Mammalia; Rodentia; Castoridae. The record is from RNAcentral.
AAUCCUGUUACACUUGGGAUUUAGGUGCUUUUAGCCUGAAAAAAGUAUGUGUCCACUAAACACUCCAGAAGGAUUUGAGAAGCAUCCUCGCCUGAACUAAAGCUAGAGUCUUUGAGGAUUUGGAAAAUUGAG